RNAcentral lists this transfer RNA (72 nucleotides) under Camelus bactrianus (Bactrian camel). It matches the Rfam family "tRNA". From Rfam's summary of the family: Transfer RNA (tRNA) molecules are approximately 80 nucleotides in length. Lineage: Eukaryota; Metazoa; Chordata; Mammalia; Artiodactyla; Camelidae. RNAcentral also lists the same sequence under 2 other names. The record is from Rfam by way of RNAcentral.
GAGGGUAUAGCUCAGUGGUAGAGUGCAUGCUUAGCAUGCAUGAGGUCCUGGGUUCAAUCCCCAGAACCUCCA